This is a long non-coding RNA of Pteropus alecto (black flying fox), 415 nucleotides long. RefSeq lists it as uncharacterized. The record is from RefSeq and is a predicted model, not a curated record. NCBI's taxonomy places the organism in Eukaryota, Metazoa, Chordata, Mammalia, Chiroptera, Pteropodidae. The transcript is spliced from 2 exons.
CCGCGUAAGCUAAAAAGAUUGGUUGCUAACUGUGCCAGCCCUGGGUUCUCUGGACUCCUUAGGGUCCAUAGGGGACCUUCACAAGUGCCUUUCAGGGGACUCUGAGAAAUUACUAUCCUCCUAGCCCCAGGUUAAAAUAGGCAUAAAUGAAGAUUUCAGCAGAGAAGACGUAGCACCAGGAUCAUAGCCCGUUGAUAGGCAAGACAUGAAUUCUAUCCCAGAUUAGAAACAGCAUAAAAAAUAAGAGUAACUUUUUCACAACCCUCAAACCUUACUACGUAUAUUAUUAUUUCUUUUUAAACCCCUCCCUUAACAUAGCUCAGUAAUUAUAUGAGUAGUAUAAAUUUUGCCUUAUGAUUUGCCGUAUGUGGUUCUCUUGCUCGCAUAAUUAAAACUACAUAUUUGAUUAAGUGUU